GUUGAAGGGCUGCAGUAUACUGACUGUACAAAGGUAGCAUAAUAAAUAGUUUCUUAAUUGGAAGCUGGAAUGAAAGGCUUAAUGAAAAAUCUGCUGUCUUAUUUAAAAAAUUAGAAUUUUAUGCUUAGGUAAAAAUGCCUAAAUGUGUGAGUGGGACGAGAAGACCCUGUAGAAUUUUAUUUUAUUAUGAGGUUAGUAAAAAGAUUUGAAUUUGAGAGGUAAUUGUGAAGUAAAAUUUAAUUGGGGUGAUUAAAAAAUAAUUAACUUUUAUUUAUUAGUGUUAUAUAUAAGUAUUUAUUUGAUCCAUGUUGGAUGAUUAGAAGAUAAAUUACCUCAGGGAUAMCAGCGUGAUUU
RNAcentral lists this ribosomal RNA (354 nucleotides) under Nocticola quartermainei. RNAcentral's name for it is "partial large subunit ribosomal RNA". The record is from RNAcentral. Lineage: Eukaryota; Metazoa; Arthropoda; Insecta; Blattodea; Nocticolidae.